CCCCUAGAUGUUCUGGGCCGCACGCGCGCUACACUGAACAGUUCAACAAGUCUUAACCUUGGCCGAUAGGUCUGGGUAAUCUUUGAACGCUGUUCGUGAUUGGGAUAGACCUUUGCAAUUAUGGGUCUUCAACGAGGAAUUCCUAGUAAACGCAAGUCAUCAGCUUGCAUUGAUUACGUCCCUGCCCUUUGUACACACCGCCCGUCGCACCUACCGAUUGAGUGAUCCGGUGAAUAAUUCGGACUGAUGCAAUAUUCAGCUCCUGGACGUUGCGUUGGAAAGUUUAGUGAACCUUAUCACUUAGAGGAAGGAGAAGUCGUAACA
This 324-nucleotide ribosomal RNA is filed under the name uncultured eukaryote. RNAcentral's name for it is "partial 18S ribosomal RNA". It matches the Rfam family "Eukaryotic small subunit ribosomal RNA", at positions 1470 to 1796 of the family's 1831-position model. The record is from RNAcentral.